UGCGAGCGUUACUAAGAUCAAAGUGCAAAAAAUAAAUCCUCUUUUGCAACCCAGAACUCAUGGCUCAGUAUGAGUUUUGAUACAGAUAAGAAGGAACAAG
Molecule: small nucleolar RNA, 100 nt
Organism: Lontra canadensis (Northern American river otter)
Lineage: Eukaryota; Metazoa; Chordata; Mammalia; Carnivora; Mustelidae
Product: small nucleolar RNA SNORA40
Exons: 1
Source: RefSeq, a predicted model, not a curated record